RNAcentral lists this ribosomal RNA (216 nucleotides) under uncultured bacterium. RNAcentral describes it as "partial 16S ribosomal RNA". It matches the Rfam family "Bacterial small subunit ribosomal RNA", at positions 15 to 229 of the family's 1533-position model. The record is from RNAcentral.
GAUCAUGGCUCAGAUUGAACGCUGGCGGCAUGCUUUACACAUGCAAGUCGAACGGCAGCACAGGGAGCUUGCUCCCGGGUGGCGAGUGGCGCACGGGUGAGUAAUACAUCGGAACGUGUCCUAUUGUGGGGGAUAACUGCUCGAAAGGGUGGCUAAUACCGCAUGAGACCUGAGGGUGAAAGCGGGGGAUCGCAAGACCUCGCGCAAUGANCGCGA